GGUUAACGGAGCGAAAGCGACGUUCAACCUCAAAAGAAGCAGAGGGGGCUUAGUGGUGGGGUGACUGCGUACCUUUUGUAUAAUGGGUCAGCGACUUAUAUUCUGUAGCAAGGUUAACCGUAUAGGGGAGCCGGAGGGAAACCGAGUCUUAACCGGGCGUUAAGUUGCAGGGUAUAGACCCGAAACCCGGUGAUCUAGCCAUGGGCAGGUUGAAGGUUGGGUAACACUAACUGGAGGACCGAACCGACUAAUGUUGAAAAAUUAGCGGAUGACCUGUGGCUGGGGGUGAAAGGCCAAUCAAACCGGGAGAUAGCUGGUUCUCCCCGAAAGCUAUUUAGGUAGCGCCUCGUGAACUCAUCUCCGGGGGUAGAGCACUGUUUCGGCUAGGGGGCCAUCCCGGCUUACCAACCCGAUGCAAACUGCGAAUACCGGAGAAUGUUAUCACGGGAGACACACGGCGGGUGCUAACGUCCGUCGUGAAGAGGGAAACAACCCAGACCGCCAGCUAAGGUCCCAAAGUCAUGGUUAAGUGGGAAACGAUGUGGGAAGGCCCAGACAGCCAGGAUGUUGGCUUAGAAGCAGCCAUCAUUUAAAGAAAGCGUAAUAGCUCACUGGUCGAGUCGGCCUGCGCGGAAGAUGUAACGGGGCUAAACCAUGCACCGAAGCUGCGGCAGCGACACUGUGUGUUGUUGGGUAGGGGAGCGUUCUGUAAGCCUGUGAAGGUGUGCUGUGAGGCAUGCUGGAGGUAUCAGAAGUGCGAAUGCUGACAUAAGUAACGAUAAAGCGGGUGAAAAGCCCGCUCGCCGGAAGACCAAGGGUUCCUGUCCAACGUUAAUCGGGGCAGGGUGAGUCGACCCCUAAGGCGAGGCCGAAAGGCGUAGUCGAUGGGAAACGGGUUAAUAUUCCCGUACUUGGUGUUACUGCGAAGGGGGGACGGAGAAGGCUAUGUUGGCCGGGCGACGGUUGUCCCGGUUUAAGCGUGUAGGUGUGUGUUCCAGGUAAAUCCGGUUCACUUUAACACUGAGGCGUGAUGACGAGGCACUACGGUGCUGAAGCAACAAAUGCCCUGCUUCCAGGAAAAGCCUCUAAGCAUCAGGUAACAUCAAAUCGUACCCCAAACCGACACAGGUGGUCAGGUAGAGAAUACCAAGGCGCUUGAGAGAACUCGGGUGAAGGAACUAGGCAAAAUGGUGCCGUAACUUCGGGAGAAGGCACGCUGACACGUAGGUGAAGUGAUUUACUCACGGAGCUGAAGUCAGUCGAAGAUACCAGCUGGCUGCAACUGUUUAUUAAAAACACAGCACUGUGCAAACACGAAAGUGGACGUAUACGGUGUGACGCCUGCCCGGUGCCGGAAGGUUAAUUGAUGGGGUCAGCGCAAGCGAAGCUCCUGAUCGAAGCCCCGGUAAACGGCGGCCGUAACUAUAACGGUCCUAAGGUAGCGAAAUUCCUUGUCGGGUAAGUUCCGACCUGCACGAAUGGCGUAAUGAUGGCCAGGCUGUCUCCACCCGAGACUCAGUGAAAUUGAACUCGCUGUGAAGAUGCAGUGUACCCGCGGCAAGACGGAAAGACCCCGUGAACCUUUACUAUAGCUUGACACUGAACAUUGAGCCUUGAUGUGUAGGAUAGGUGGGAGGCUUUGAAGCGUGGACGCCAGUCUGCGUGGAGCCGACCUUGAAAUACCACCCUUUAAUGUUUGAUGUUCUAACGUGGACCCGUGAUCCGGGUUGCGGACAGUGUCUGGUGGGUAGUUUGACUGGGGCGGUCUCCUCCUAAAGAGUAACGGAGGAGCACGAAGGUUGGCUAAUCCUGGUCGGACAUCAGGAGGUUAGUGCAAUGGCAUAAGCCAGCUUGACUGCGAGCGUGACGGCGCGAGCAGGUGCGAAAGCAGGUCAUAGUGAUCCGGUGGUUCUGAAUGGAAGGGCCAUCGCUCAACGGAUAAAAGGUACUCCGGGGAUAACAGGCUGAUACCGCCCAAGAGUUCAUAUCGACGGCGGUGUUUGGCACCUCGAUGUCGGCUCAUCACAUCCUGGGGCUGAAGUAGGUCCCAAGGGUAUGGCUGUUCGCCAUUUAAAGUGGUACGCGAGCUGGGUUUAGAACGUCGUGAGACAGUUCGGUCCCUAUCUGCCGUGGGCGCUGGAGAACUGAGGGGGGCUGCUCCUAGUACGAGAGGACCGGAGUGGACGCAUCACUGGUGUUCGGGUUGUCAUGCCAAUGGCACUGCCCGGUAGCUAAAUGCGGAAGAGAUAAGUGCUGAAAGCAUCUAAGCACGAAACUUGCCCCGAGAUGAGUUCUCCCUGAGACUACGAGUCUCCUGAAGGAACGUUGAAGACGACGACGUUGAUAGGCCGGGUGUGUAAGCGCAGCGAUGCGUUGAGCUAACCGGUACUAAUGAACCGUGAGGCUUAACCUU
RNAcentral lists this ribosomal RNA (2413 nucleotides) under Salmonella enterica. RNAcentral describes it as "23S ribosomal RNA". It matches the Rfam family "Bacterial large subunit ribosomal RNA", at positions 528 to 2925 of the family's 2925-position model. Lineage: Bacteria; Pseudomonadati; Pseudomonadota; Gammaproteobacteria; Enterobacterales; Enterobacteriaceae. The record is from RNAcentral.